CAGUCGCCGCGGUAAUACGAAGGGUGCAAGCGUUACUCGGAAUUACUGGGCGUAAAGCGUGCGUAGGUGGUGGUUUAAGUCCGUUGUGAAAGCCCUGGGCUCAACCUGGGAAUUGCAGUGGAUACUGGGUCACUAGAGUGUGGUAGAGGAUAGUGGAAUUUCCGGUGUAGCAGUGAAAUGCGUAGAGAUCGGAAGGAACAUCUGUGGCGAAGGCGACUAUCUGGGCCAACACUGACACUGAGGCACGAAAGCGUGGGGAGCAAACAGGAUUAGAUACCCGUGAGUCCCUGUCUCUUAUACA
RNAcentral lists this ribosomal RNA (301 nucleotides) under uncultured bacterium. Its description in RNAcentral is "partial 16S ribosomal RNA". It matches the Rfam family "Bacterial small subunit ribosomal RNA", at positions 509 to 808 of the family's 1533-position model. The record is from RNAcentral.